AGAGCGAACGCUGGCGGCAGGCUUAACACAUGCAAGUCGAGCGGGCGUAGCAAUACGUCAGCGGCAGACGGGUGAGUAACGCGUGGGAACAUACCUUUGGUUCGGAACAACACAGGGAAACUUGUGCUAAUACCGGAUAAGCCCUUACGGGGAAAGAUUUAUCGCCGAAAGAUUGGCCCGCGUCUGAUUAGCUAGUUGGUGAGGUAACGGCUCACCAAGGCGACGAUCAGUAGCUGGUCUGAGAGGAUGAUCAGCCACAUUGGGACUGAGACACGGCCCAAACUCCUACGGGAGGCAGCAGUGGGAAUAUUGGACAAUGGGCGCAAGCCUGAUCCAGCCAUGCCGCGUGAGUGAUGAAGGCCCUAGGGUUGUAAAGCUCUUUUGUGCGGGAAGAUAAUGACGGUACCGCAAGAAUAAGCCCCGGCUAACUUCGCGCCAGCAGCCGC
RNAcentral lists this ribosomal RNA (446 nucleotides) under uncultured bacterium. RNAcentral's name for it is "SSU rRNA". It matches the Rfam family "Bacterial small subunit ribosomal RNA", at positions 26 to 518 of the family's 1533-position model. The record is from RNAcentral.